GAUGAACGCUGGCGGCGUGCCUAAUACAUGCAAGUCGAGCGAACAGACGAGGAGCUUGCUCCUCUGACGUUAGCGGCGGACGGGUGAGUAACACGUGGAUAACCUACCUAUAAGACUGGGAUUACUUCGGGAAACCGGAGCUAAUACCGGAUAACAUGUUGAACCGCAUGGUUCAACAGUGAAAGACGGUUUUGCUGUCACUUAUAGAUGGAUCCGCGUCGCAUUAGCUAGUUGGUAAGGUAACGGCUUACCAAGGCAACGAUGCGUAGCCGACCUGAGAGGGUGAUCGGCCACACUGGAACUGAGACACGGUCCAGACUCCUACGGGAGGCAGCAGUAGGGAAUCUUCCGCAAUGGGCGAAAGCCUGACGGAGCAACGCCGCGUGAGUGAAGAAGGUCUUCGGAUCGUAAAACUCUGUUAUUAGGGAAGAACAAAUGUGUAAGUAACUAUGCACGUCUUGACGGUACCUAAUCAGAAAGCCACGGCUAACUACGUG
This 497-nucleotide ribosomal RNA is filed under the name uncultured bacterium. RNAcentral's name for it is "partial 16S ribosomal RNA". It matches the Rfam family "Bacterial small subunit ribosomal RNA", at positions 28 to 507 of the family's 1533-position model. The record is from RNAcentral.